GACCAUCUCCAGCCGUCCUCUUUUCCUAGUGGUCUUCUUUCUUCACUGGCUCACAUGGCUUUUUCUCAACAGACAAUAGAUUAGCUGCAAAUAGUGCCCAUCUCAUGUUUUCUUUUCAGGUAUUUAUAGCUCAUUUCAUUUUCCUGACUUGGGCACAGCCUCGGUGUCUGAUGGGCUCGUCGUCAUGGUGACCCCCUGUACCUGUGAGAAACAGUCCGGGGAAGCCCAGUCGAGGCUCUCGGGAGCUCCCUUUAUCAGGUCACAGGAACGCCCAUCUCUUCCUACCUUACUCAGAGCCCUAGGUUCUCACUGUCUUAAUUAUGCUUCAGUUAAAAAAUAAUCAAUAGGUUUUUAUGUUUAAGGAAAGAUACUGGAAUUUAUUAACACUAUUUCUCCGUAUCUAUUGAGAUAAUCGUGUGGUCUUCCUCCUUUGUUAAUGCAGAGAAUUUUAUUAAAUGGAUUUCUACGUUCCCAAGUGGCUUCAACCGGCGGGUUCACCCUGGGUCAGCGCUCCGUCUGCACACGCCACCACGCGGGCUGCCAUCAGCAGGGGGCGCUGGCUCCCCGCACGCCUGACCGCACCUGUGUCCGCUGCCUUCUCACACCCGGGUCAGAGGACUUCACUCAUCGCCCUGACACCAAACACCUUUCACCCUCUUGCCUGCCAGCGAAGCUGCCCUCCAGGUGCCAGGCCCUCAGUUCCCACGACUGCCUGUUCGCUGCAGGCGUGGCUCUCCAGUUUCCCUCAGUGCGUGGAGCUUUGCUUCCACGCUGGCCUGCUGUGUCCGGAAGUCUCGGUGCUGCCGCGUCCCCACUGGACUCCCCAGGACCACACAGCACUUGCCAGCAGCGCCUUGUGGGGCCGGCAGCAGCUCUGCCCUGUCCCCCAUAGGGAGCUGCAUGUCCCCACAUGACAUUUCCCCCUUCUUUUCUCUUCUCCUUUUAUGUUUUCUCACAUGCCCAAAAUUACACAUAACUCUUACCAUCGUAAGCUGUGCGAGCUCAGUGUCAUUAAAGCACAUUCAGUGUCGUGCACCCGCCACCACCGCCCGGCUCCAGAACGUUGUCUUCCCAAACGGAAACUGUGCUCCCUACACGCUAACGCCCCAGCCCCUGGUGCCCCCGCUGUACUUUGAGUCUGACCACUCUAGGGACCUCGUAUAGGUGGGUCAUACAGUGUUUGUGGUCUGUGACUGGCCGACAAUUCAGCACAAUGCCCUGAAGGUUCACCCACAUUGUGACAUUUGUCAGAACGAGCUUCCUUUUUUAAGGCUAAAUAAUGUCCCACCGUGCGUACACCUCACAUUCGGCUUCGGUGGACCCCUGGGUGGCUGCCACGUUUUGGCUCUUGUGCACAAUGCUGCCGUGGAC
This 1371-nucleotide long non-coding RNA is filed under the name Ursus americanus (American black bear). RNAcentral's name for it is "lncRNA (ENSUAMG00000002663.1)". Lineage: Eukaryota; Metazoa; Chordata; Mammalia; Carnivora; Ursidae. The record is from RNAcentral.